Nothobranchius furzeri (turquoise killifish) is the source of this 3027-nucleotide non-coding RNA. Lineage: Eukaryota; Metazoa; Chordata; Actinopteri; Cyprinodontiformes; Nothobranchiidae. The record is from RefSeq and is a predicted model, not a curated record.
CUAUCUAUCUCUCUAUCUAUCUCUCUAUCUAUCUCUCUAUCUAUCUCUAUCUAUCUAUCUCUAUCUAUCUAUCUAUCUAUCUAUCUAUCUCUCUAUCUCUCUAUCUCUCUAUCAUCUCUCUAUCUCUCUAUCUCUCUAUCAUCUCUCUAUCUCUCUAUCAUCUCUCUAUCUCUCUAUCUAUCUAUCUAUCAUCUAUCUAUCUAUCUAUCUAUCUAUCUAUCUAUCUAUCUAUCUAUCUAUCUAUCUAUCUGUCUCUCUGUCUCUCUGUCUCUCUGUCUCUCUGUCUCUAUCUCUCUCUAUCUCUCUCUGUGUGUGCAAAAAAGGCUGCUUCUGCAAAUAUCUAGCACAUUUCUGUCAGGUGAUGUAGGAGGGGCAAGAUGGCAGAGACUAUCACCAUCACCACAGCAUUGGCAUAAAGCUCCCAAAAGCACCAGUCCCAAAAAUAAUCAGUCAAAAUGGUGAAUGUUUAUGUGGAGAUGGUUCCAUCUGCUGUCCAUCUGGACAUGAGCUCAUCGAUUUCUGUUGCGAGUGUGCGUGAGGUUUGUUCAAGUUGGACGGCAAGAUUUCAUCUAGCUCCGUAGUGUGUGCUCCACGUUUUUGCUAGGAUGACUACAAUGAAAGUGACUUGAGUGAGCAUAAGAUGGUUUUCAAAACAAAGGAUAAGGUCAGGCUGAAGCCCACCGCUGUACCAUCGGUACACAGCAGUACUCAACUGUGAGAGGGAUAACAAGGAGGUGAGACGGCGUCCACAUCAAUGGCUACACCUGCGCAGAGCCGCAGCCAAUUCAAGACCCCACGAGGAACUGCUGCUCGGAAACUUGAAGUUUGCUUGGUAAUUAUUACUUUUACAUGUACACAUUUACUUCUGAUAUAUUGUAGUAAUGUAGAGGUGUGAUUUUAUGAGUUUAAUUAGAAAUAUCUCUGCUCAUUAGCAUCUGGGUGAGCUGCUAAGGGUUAAUGUUUGUGUAGCUGUAGCCUGUAGGAUGUGAAUAAAGACAAAAAGUUAGCACCCAAAAAUGAAAAUAAAUUGCAUGGUCGACAAUAAGGCGCCGAACAGUUCAGUGUUGUGUUUUGCUAACUUCGUAGCUAAUAAUGCUGCAGGUUCUGACAGUCAUGAGAGAGAGGAAGCUCCUGUGAUCAUUUAGAGGAAUAAAACGGCCUGGCCAGCCAGCCCCAUGCUUCCUUAUUGGAAGUUGUUACGUUCUCCGUGUAGACUUAAACAGAGAAUGAGUCUGGCAGGCCAGGCUAGAAUAAAACAGCCUGGCAAGCCAGUCCUGUGCAUAUAAAUAUACUUCCAGAGCAACAUCUUUUUCUAUUGCUUUAGUUGGUCUAUAUUUCUAUGCUGUAAAAGUAAAAUCCUGUUAUAUAUUCUCCACUGACAUGUUCAGAUUUAGAAAAUAACUCUUACAUAUACAUUUGUACUUGUGUUUUAUAGAUAAUGUCAGGUGUAACUUCACAGGUGGAAGCUGAGCUCAUUCCUGAUGCUGCUGACACACAUGAUGAGGUGGCAGACCUCAGUGAACCGUGCUACUUGAGUCAUCUCCUUUGUCAUCAGGUAAAUGUCAACCAUCACAACACAAAAUAGGUUCCAGGACCAUUCAUGGACAGAGGGGCUGAACCCGUUUGUUUAUCAUUGUACCAAUCUAGUUUUUAUUUAUUUAUUUAUUUAUGCACACACGUGUAUUUUGUGUCAUGAGAAUCAGCUAAGAAAUGUUUUUUGUUGUGUUUUCCUGGAAAAUUAACAAAUAUCUCUAAAAAAAUUUAUAUUAUUAAACAAAGACCUGAUUUUCUCAGGAAAUGGCUCAUCUUUUGUGGGUCAUGACCCAGCUCAUCUUCUUCAAAGAGGAAGGAUAAUUUCUAAAAGCCUCUCUUCGGCUGCGGGUCUCCUUUUCCCGUCUUUCAGCUAAACAGCUGAUGUGUCCACUGGUCCUUCAUCCUCAUCCUUUAUACAUAAAAACCCAUUAAACUAAAGAGAAGUAACAAUCUGUCACAGAUCGCUCCGAUUUCGGCCUCACUAUUUACUCCACAGCUCCGUGACAUGUGGAAGCAGUCCAUCGUGAACCAUCUGUACUGGACCGCUGAAUCCACACCUGAUGGCAACACUGACAUUAUGGAGGCAUGAUGGAAGUUACUUGUGAAUCGUGUUCAGGACAUCCAUGACGAAACACCUGAAUUUCCAGUUUGUCUCCAUCCUCCACUGGAAGAGCAAAGCAGGAACAAGCAGUGACUAGCCCUGAUCGACUUCAGCAGUCAAGUUGGAGAAAGCAGCCUUUCAGCCAGGAUGUGAAGGAUGUGAGGCUGCUGUCCCCUCAGCUCCAGGCAUACUCGAGGUGUUCCACUCCCUCAUCCUGAGAUUUGCUCCUAAGCAUACAGGUUCUCAGACCUUGGCAUGAACACCAGGCACAUUUUAUUCAGCUGGAAUUUUUAAUAAUUUUAUCAGUUCAUGCAAACAUUGAGCCACAUGUCUUUACAGAUACCACACUAGUCCAGAUCAGGCCAGUGGAAGCUUCUGGACUGGCCAUCUUCACCUGGAAAGGCAGCUCUGAUGGCGUUCACUACACAUGAUGUCGCCCGAUGAUGUCAUGUGCCCACUGGAUCAUCUGCCUGUAGACUACAUAGCGAUACUGCCCGUAAUGUAAACGUUGUAAAAAGAUGAUCUCCUCACCUGACAAGCUUGUUUCCUUUCUGUGUUAUUACUAUUACUUCUACAUAUUCUAUUCUGUAUAUAUGUAUACAUAUACUGUGUACUAUGUUAUACUAUGCCAUUUAUGUGUAUAUUUCACUAAUGUUGUUUCUCGCCCCUAACUUGAUAAUAAAAGUUUCAGAGAUGAGCUUUACUCAUUGAGCUGAUGUGUUAUUGUAGAUAAGGUGUAUAAAAAUGCAUGACUGUGUAAAUGAAGCAUGGUGUUAAAAUGUUUUAAAACUUCUUAAGAAAAAUGGAAGAAUAAAUAGUGAAGUUAUGUUGCUAGCUAUCCUUGGCACAACAUGUAUUGUUUGAGACAUUAAAUCUGUUCUAUGAAAACCAAA